AUACACAAACUCUGCAUCUUUGCGUCGGGUUUGAAAUAUCAAUUUGAUUAAAACUUUCAACAACGGAUCUCUUGGUUCUGGCAUCGAUGAAGAACGCAGCGAAAUGCGAUAAGUAAUGUGAAUUGCAGAAUUCAGUGAAUCAUCGAAUCUUUGAACGCACACUGCGCCCUUUGGCAUUCCGAAGGGCAUGCCCGUUCGAGCGUCAUUACACCAAUCAAGCCUGGCUUGGUAUUGGGCCCCGGGGGCGACCCGGGCCUCAAAGUCUGUCGGCUGGAAAGCUCUGAUCUCAGCGUCGUGGUUAAAAACAUUCGCCGACGAGAGGAGCGGUCUGCGCCGUGAAAUUUUCUACAGGUUGACCUCGGAUCGGGUAGGAAUACCCGCUGAACUUA
This 389-nucleotide ribosomal RNA is filed under the name uncultured Capnodiales. RNAcentral describes it as "eukaryotic LSU rRNA". The stretch from base 52 to 205 matches the Rfam family "5.8S ribosomal RNA". Lineage: Eukaryota; Fungi; Ascomycota; Dothideomycetes; Capnodiales. The record is from RNAcentral.